Molecule: ribosomal RNA, 466 nt
Filed under: uncultured bacterium
Lineage: Bacteria
Description: partial 16S ribosomal RNA
Rfam family: Bacterial small subunit ribosomal RNA
Source: RNAcentral
GACGAACGCUGGCGGUGUGCUUAACACAUGCAAGUCGAACGGUAAGGCCCUUUCGGGGGUACACGAGUGGCGAACGGGUGAGUAACACGUGAGUAACCUGCCCUCAUCUCUGGGAUAACAGUCGGAAACGGUUGCUAAUACUGGAUAUGAGCUUGCAAGGCAUCUUGUGGGUUGGAAAGAUUUUUUUGGUUGGGGAUGGACUCGCGGCCUAUCAGCUUGUUGGUGAGGUAGUGGCUCACCAAGGCUUCGACGGGUAGCCGGCCUGAGAGGGCGACCGGCCACAUUGGGACUGAGAGACGGCCCAAACUCCUACGGGAGGCAGCAGUGGGGAAUAUUGCACAAUGGACGGAAGUCUGAUGCAGCAACGCCGCGUGCGGGAUGACGGCCUUCGGGUUGUAAACCGCUUUCAAUUGUGACGAAGCUUUUUGUGACGGUAGCAGUAGAAGAAGCACCGGCUAACUACGUG